RNAcentral lists this transfer RNA (63 nucleotides) under Clistobothrium montaukensis. Its description in RNAcentral is "tRNA-Val". Lineage: Eukaryota; Metazoa; Platyhelminthes; Cestoda; Phyllobothriidea; Phyllobothriidae. The record is from RNAcentral.
UGCAAUGUAGUUUAUUAAAAAUUCCUACUUUACACGUAGGAGAUUCCUUUAUGGACUUUGUUA